RNAcentral lists this ribosomal RNA (346 nucleotides) under Quistrachia warroorana. RNAcentral describes it as "partial 16S ribosomal RNA". It matches the Rfam family "Bacterial large subunit ribosomal RNA", at positions 1796 to 2484 of the family's 2925-position model. Lineage: Eukaryota; Metazoa; Mollusca; Gastropoda; Stylommatophora; Camaenidae. The record is from RNAcentral.
UCGCCUGUUUAUCAAAAACAUAGCCAUUAGUAAUUAUUAUUGGUUAUUUYUGCUCAAUGAAAGUUAAAUAGCCGCAGUACCCUGACUGUGCAAAGGUAGCAUAAUAAAUUGGCUUAUAAUUAAAGUCUAGUAUGAACGAAAUAAUGGAAAAUAACUGUGUCUUGGACAUUGAGUGAAAUUACUUAACAUGUGAAAAUUCAUGUGGUUAAAUAAUAGACGAGAAGACCCUAGAAAUUUUAAGAACUUGCUCACUUGGUUUUUGUUGGGGCAACAGUGUAACAAGUAACUUACAUUUAUAACAAGAAAUGCAAUUGAUAGAGCAAAUUACUCUAGGGAUAACAGCGUA